Molecule: transfer RNA, 77 nt
Filed under: Clostridiaceae bacterium
Lineage: Bacteria; Bacillati; Bacillota; Clostridia; Eubacteriales; Clostridiaceae
Description: tRNA-Met
Rfam family: tRNA
About the family: Transfer RNA (tRNA) molecules are approximately 80 nucleotides in length. Their secondary structure includes four short double-helical elements and three loops (D, anti-codon, and T loops).
Source: RNAcentral
GGCGGCGUAGCUCAGUUGGUCAGAGCAUUCGGUUCAUACCCGAAGUGUCGUUGGUUCAAAUCCGAUCGCCGCUACCA